AUGGACAGAAAGUGGUUGGUUUACUCUAAAGAGUUGGACAAAGUUUUUUGUUUUGCCUGCAAGUUGUUCAAAUCAAACCAGAGCAGGUCUUUGCUAGCGUCUGAUGGGUUAAGGGACUGGAAGCAUCUCAGUGGAAGACUCCAAGAACAUGAGAGCAGUGUUGAGCAUUUAACAAACAUGAACACAUGGAAUGAUCUAAGGUUGAGGUUAAGCAAAAAUCAAACAAUUGAUGAUGACAUGCAGCGGGAGAUUGCAAAGGAAAAGGAGCGGUGGAGACAAGUUUUCCUAAGAAUAAUUUCUGCAGUGAAGUUUCUUGCAAAACGUAAUUUGGCAUUUCGAGGAACAAAGGGGAAGUUGUAUGAAGAUAAUAAUGGUAAUUUUUUGGGCACGGUUGAAAUGAUUGCUGAAUUCGAUCAUGUGAUGCAAGAACAUAUUAGGCGCAUUCAAAGUAAUGAAAUACAUCAUCAUUAUCUUGGCCACACUAUUCAGAAUGAGUUGAUUUCUCUCCUUGCUGACGCCGUGAAAAAGGUUAUCUUACGCACCAUCAAGGAUGCCAAGUAUUUCUCUGUUAUAUUGGACUGUACCCUGGAUGUGAGCCAUGAAGAGCAAAUGACGCUAAUUGUGCGUUGUGUCAAUGUCUCACGGCAAGGUUAUGACAAUGGCUCCAACAUGAAGGGAAAAAAUCAAGAUAAUGUUCCAAAUCUGACUCUCAAACCUUUAUCUAAUACUCGUUGGGAGAGUAGAAUAAAGAGUGUGCAACCUAUAAGGUACCAAACUCGGCAAGUAAGAUCAGCUUUGAAGGAACUAGAGAAGUCUUCUACUGAUGAUCCAGCUGCAGUAAGUCAUGCUCAAUCUUUGUUCAGUGCACUUGGGAAAUUUGAGACUUUGGUUGGUAUGGUUAUUUGGCAUGAUAUUUUAUUUUCUGUCAAUAUGGUGAGCAAAAAGUUACAGGAAAAAAUUGUGUGCAUCGAUGCUACUCUCAAACACAUUGAAGGGGUCAUUUCAUAUUUUGAGAAGUAUAGAGAUGAAGGCUUCUAUUCUAGUAUUGAGAGUGCCAAACUCAUUGCAGCGAAUAUG
Molecule: ribosomal RNA, 1077 nt
Filed under: Triticum aestivum (bread wheat)
Lineage: Eukaryota; Viridiplantae; Streptophyta; Magnoliopsida; Poales; Poaceae
Description: partial small subunit ribosomal RNA
Source: RNAcentral